RNAcentral lists this ribosomal RNA (251 nucleotides) under uncultured bacterium. RNAcentral describes it as "partial 16S ribosomal RNA". It matches the Rfam family "Bacterial small subunit ribosomal RNA", at positions 525 to 775 of the family's 1533-position model. The record is from RNAcentral.
ACGGAGGGUGCGAGCGUUAUCCGGAUUUAUUGGGUUUAAAGGGCGCGUAGGUUGACGGUUAAGUCAGCGGUGAAAUCCCGGAGCUCAACUCCGGCACUGCCGUUGAAACUGGUCGUCUUGAGUGUGAACGAGGUAGGCGGAAUUCGUAGUGUAGCGGUGAAAUGCAUAGAUAUUACGAAGAACUCCGAUAGCGCAGGCAGCUUACCAGGCCACAACUGACACUGAAGCGCGAAAGUGUGGGUAUCAAACAG